Molecule: ribosomal RNA, 856 nt
Filed under: Melanelixia subargentifera
Lineage: Eukaryota; Fungi; Ascomycota; Lecanoromycetes; Lecanorales; Parmeliaceae
Description: eukaryotic LSU rRNA
Rfam family: Eukaryotic large subunit ribosomal RNA
Source: RNAcentral
GGGAUUGCCUCAGUAACGGCGAGUGAAGCGGCAACAGCUCAAAUUUGAAAUCUGGCUCCUUCGGGGCCCGAGUUGUAAUUUGUAGAGAGUGCUUCGGGGGAGACUGCGGUCUAAGUCCAUUGGAACAUGGCGUCCUAGAGGGUGAGAAUCCCGUAUGUGACCGUGGCUCGAACCCAUGUGAAGCCUCUUCGACGAGUCGAGUUGUUUGGGAAUGCAGCUCAAAAUGGGUGGUAAAUUUCAUCUAAAGCUAAAUACUGGCUGGAGACCGAUAGCGCACAAGUAGAGUGAUCGAAAGAUGAAAAGCACUUUGGAAAGAGAGUUAAAAAGUACGUGAAAUUGUUGAAAGGGAAGCGCUGGCAACCAGACCUGCCCGUAGGUGAUCAGCCGCUGUUCUCAGCGGUGCACUCGCUCUGCGAUCAGGCCAGCAUCGGUUCCGGCGGUCGGAUAAAGGCCUUGGGAAUGUACCUUCCCUUCGGGGGAGUCUUAUAGCCCUCGGUGCAAUGCGGCCAGCCGGGACCGAGGACCGCGCUUCGGCUAGGAUGCUGGCGUAAUGGUUGUCAGCGACCCGUCUUGAAACACGGACCAAGGAGUCUAACAUCUAUGCGAGUGUUUGGGUGUUAAACCCAUGCGCGGAAUGAAAGUGAACGGAGGUGAGAACCCUUAAGGGCGCAUCAUCGACCGAUCCAGAUGUCUUCGGAUGGAUUUGAGUAUGAGCAUAGCUGUUGGGACCCGAAAGAUGGUGAACUAUGCCUGAAUAGGGUGAAGCCAGAGGAAACUCUGGUGGAGGCUCGCAGCGGUUCUGACGUGCAAAUCGAUCGUCAAAUUUGGGUAUAGGGGCGAAAGACUAAUCGAACCA